UGGGGAAUUUUGGACAAUGGGCGAAAGCCUGAUCCAGCAAUGCCGCGUGUGUGAAGAAGGCCUUCGGGUUGUAAAGCACUUUUGUCCGGAAAGAAAUCCUUGGCUCUAAUACAGUCGGGGGAUGACGGUACCGGAAGAAUAAGCACCGGCUAACUACGUGCCAGCAGCCGCGGUAAUACGUAGGGUGCAAGCGUUAAUCGGAAUUACUGGGCGUAAAGCGUGCGCAGGCGGUUUGCUAAGACCGAUGUGAAAUCCCGGGCUCAACCUGGGAACUGCAUUGGUGACUGGCAGGCUAGAGUAUGGCAGAGGGGGGUAGAAUUCCACGUGUAGCAGUGAAAUGCGUAGAGAUGUGGAGGAAUACCGAUGGCGAAGGCAGCCCCUGGGCCAAUACUGACGCUCAUGCACGAAAGCGUGGGGGAGCAAACAGGAUUAGAUACCCUGGUAGUCCACGCCCUAAACGAUGUCAACUAGUUGUUGGGGACUUCAUUUCCUUAGUAACGUAGCUAACGCGUGAAGUUGACCGCCUGGGGAGUA
RNAcentral lists this ribosomal RNA (534 nucleotides) under uncultured bacterium. RNAcentral describes it as "partial 16S ribosomal RNA". It matches the Rfam family "Bacterial small subunit ribosomal RNA", at positions 355 to 882 of the family's 1533-position model. The record is from RNAcentral.